Molecule: ribosomal RNA, 800 nt
Filed under: uncultured bacterium
Lineage: Bacteria
Description: bacterial SSU rRNA
Rfam family: Bacterial small subunit ribosomal RNA
Source: RNAcentral
AGAGUUUGAUCUGGCUCAGGACAAACGCUGGCGGCGUGCCUAACACAUGCAAGUCGAACGAAGCGAUGGGGAAAGAGGCUUCGGCCAAUGGAACCAUUGACUUAGUGGCGGACGGGUGAGUAACGCGUGAGCAACCUGCCUUGGAGAGGGGGACAACAGCUGGAAACGGCUGCUAAUACCGCAUGAAAUCGUGAGGGGGCAUCCCCAUACGAUCAAAGAUUUAUCGCUCUGAGAUGGGCUCACGUCUGAUUAGCUUGUUGGCGGGGUAACGGCCCACCAAGGCAUCGAUCAGUAGCCGGACUGAGAGGUUGAACGGCCACAUUGGGACUGAGAUACGGCCCAGACUCCUACGGGAGGCAGCAGUGGGGAAUAUUGGGCAAUGGGCGCAAGCCUGACCCAGCAACGCCGCGUGAAGGAAGAAGGCCUUCGGGUUGUAAACUUCUUUUACCGGGGACGAAGAAAGUGACGGUACCCGGAGAAUAAGCCACGGCUAACUACGUGCCAGCAGCCGCGGUAAUACGUAGGUGGCGAGCGUUGUCCGGAUUUACUGGGUGUAAAGGGCGCGUAGGCGGGAGAGCAAGUCAGAUGUGAAAUCCAUGGGCUCAACCCAUGAACUGCAUUUGAAACUGUUUUUCUUGAGUGUCGGAGAGGUAGACGGAAUUCCUAGUGUAGCGGUGAAAUGCGUAGAUAUUAGGAGGAACACCAGUGGCGAAGGCGGUCUACUGGACGAUAACUGACGCUGAGGCGCGAAAGCGUGGGGAGCAAACAGGAUUAGAUACCCUGGUAGUCCACGCCGUAAA